GGCGAGGUUGUAUCGCGGAAGGAGGUGGAAGAUGAACGGUUGACUUGAAGUGUUGGUUGUUGUUGUCGCGUGAAGGAGGUUGUUGAUUAGAGGUUAUUGUGGUAGGCGGUUACUGUUGUUGGACCGUCGAUGGUGAAGAUGUGGUCGGAAACGGAGAUCCGUCUGGCAGUAGGUGCGGCGUCAGAGAGCUUUUCAAAGGUUGAAGAUGAGCACGAAUGCGGCUGUUCGUGAUGGUUUCGCAGCGGUGGAGUUGUAAGUGAUGUAGGGUUGUCGGCAGAAGGAAAAACGGCGGUCGGAGUGUAUGUGUGGUUGAAGAGCGGCGUUGGGGUUGGAUGAAGGAGAUGCGGAUCGGGAUCAAAAGAGGGGUUUGAAUAUGAGGUUAUGAAUGGGUGAAGAGAAGGAGUGGUACGGCGGAGUGCGGUGGAUAAUGGAGGAUGCCGACGGUGGUAAUUGAUGGAGGGUUUUUCUUUGGUGGUGAAGGGUGGCGCCGAAGAUGGAUUUUUUUCGGAAAGGUGAAGGAUGGCGCCGGUCUUUUGUGAGUGAAGAAGAAGCGUUUUUAUUUUUUAUUUUUUUCGUUUUAUUUUUUCCUUGAAAGUUAGAGUCCCCGUGAGAAAGUGGAAAGAGGUGUCUUUAUGAGUGGAGUCUUG
This 647-nucleotide long non-coding RNA is filed under the name Lathyrus oleraceus (garden pea). RNAcentral describes it as "Pisum sativum (pea) long non-coding RNA (PSAT_LNC006163)". The record is from RNAcentral. Lineage: Eukaryota; Viridiplantae; Streptophyta; Magnoliopsida; Fabales; Fabaceae.